GCGUGAGUGAAGAAGGCCUUAGGGUUGUAAAGCUCUUUCACCCGCGAAGAUGAUGACGGUAGCGGGAGAAGAAGCCCCGGCUAACUCCGUGCCAGCAGCCGCGGUAAUACGGAGGGGGCGAGCGUUGUUCGGAAUUACUGGGCGUAAAGGGCGCGUAGGCGGUGCGACACGUCAGGGGUGAAAGGCCCGGGCUCAACCUGGGAACGGCCUUUGAAACUGUCGUGCUAGAGACCGGGAGAGGAUGGCGGAAUUCCCAGUGUAGAGGUGAAAUUCGU
RNAcentral lists this ribosomal RNA (275 nucleotides) under uncultured bacterium. Its description in RNAcentral is "partial 16S ribosomal RNA". It matches the Rfam family "Bacterial small subunit ribosomal RNA", at positions 399 to 691 of the family's 1533-position model. The record is from RNAcentral.